This is a long non-coding RNA of Juglans microcarpa x Juglans regia, 137 nucleotides long. RefSeq lists it as uncharacterized. The record is from RefSeq and is a predicted model, not a curated record. NCBI's taxonomy places the organism in Eukaryota, Viridiplantae, Streptophyta, Magnoliopsida, Fagales, Juglandaceae. The transcript has 2 exons.
AAAAAAAAAUCCAACCUGAAUUAACAGUUUUAUCAAUAAUAAAUGCUGGCUAAUACCAUAUACAAUAAUCAUUGCCAGUGAUGGAUAUCUACCCUUUUUAUUGAUCCUAUUGCAACUGAUCAAUAUUUGUAAUUGAA